UAGUAUCGUCUUUCGUCUUGAAGGCGCUGCGAGCGACACCCCUGCAAUAGGUGGUGCAUUCGACAAGGAAGGGUUGAGAAGACAGAGAAAAAGGAAACCGCUGAGACAUUUUUCCUUUUACACCUGAUUUUCGACAUCUGUCAUUCUCGAGAAUAUGAUCAUGUGGAUUGUAUCGAGGAUAUAUGGUCAUCAUACGGUGUAAUUAAUGCAAGCCGCGUUGUGCAUGCUCGAUUUAUCAGAGUGAAUUUAUAGUGAAUUUUAUAAUAUUAUAAAAUACGUAAACGGAUCAUUAGCUACUGAUAUGGACGAGGAAAGAUUUAGAAAUAGAGGAGAGUGAGAUUUUUCGAUUCCUUUCGAGUAGGCGCGGUUCAAUUAUGCGCUUGUGAUUUGUGGAUUGAUACAUCGAAUCGCGCCGAAUCCCCUCCCCCUUUUCGAUGCAAAUCAAUCCUUCAUCCCGGUUCAUCUAUAUAUUUUGCAUGUUCUAUGACACUUUAUACGUCAGGCGUCGCCAAUUGCAAAGUAUCGUAAUGUUCCUAGAAGAUCUUCUAGGGACAUUCAUUCCCUAGCUUGCGCGCCUUAUUUACUGCGCAACAUGUAUUGCGCAUUUGUACGAAGAGGAUCAUCCUGGAGCGAUCGAUCUUAUCGAACUUCUUCAACAUACACAGUGUUGUGCAAACCACGUCGCACGAUUUCGUUGUAUCCGACGCAGAUAAUAUCUGGAUCAUC
Camponotus floridanus (Florida carpenter ant) is the source of this 726-nucleotide long non-coding RNA. RefSeq lists it as uncharacterized. Lineage: Eukaryota; Metazoa; Arthropoda; Insecta; Hymenoptera; Formicidae. The transcript has 4 exons. The record is from RefSeq and is a predicted model, not a curated record.